AGUUUUCUCUUGAAUGUUCCACUUAUUCAACAAUUAUAUUCCAUAUGUGUGUUUGUGCGCACAGGUGCAACCCAACAGGCCCCAAACUGACUUGGCAGCAACUAAAAAUGAUAUAUAAAUGUAGUUCAAACAGCCAACAGAAAAAAGGCAGAGGCACGCAAAACAGGUGGCGGUCCACCACCACCACCUCUCACAGAGGCUGAAGAGAUGGCAUCUCUGGGGGGAGCUCAUCGGACCCAGCCACGCCCCAGGACACAGGGGCCUACAUAAGAGUUACUGAUGAUGGUGUAAUCUGUCUCGUGGAGCCUUCUGCCAUAACACGCCUCCAUGCAGUUAGCAAUGCCGGAAGUUACAAUGAGGAAGAAGGUCCAUCAACCUCCACAGCACAGCUUACCUCAGUAAGAUGUUGUUCAGCGUUGACCCACAACUUACAAUGACACUAAGUAGACAUGGCACUGUGAAAUUCAACGUCAUUUAUGUUCCUAUAGCUCCCUGUGAAACAACUUUACAAAGUAUAUUUAGAAUCCCAAAUAAACAAAUCACACCUAGAAAUGGAGCACAUAAGGCUGCAGAUCACCAAAACAGAAAAGGAAAUACAACUGCUGGACCAUCAGUUAAAGG
Molecule: long non-coding RNA, 621 nt
Organism: Gadus macrocephalus (Pacific cod)
Lineage: Eukaryota; Metazoa; Chordata; Actinopteri; Gadiformes; Gadidae
Exons: 4
Source: RefSeq, a predicted model, not a curated record